This is a long non-coding RNA of Spinacia oleracea (spinach), 618 nucleotides long. RefSeq lists it as uncharacterized. Lineage: Eukaryota; Viridiplantae; Streptophyta; Magnoliopsida; Caryophyllales; Amaranthaceae. The record is from RefSeq and is a predicted model, not a curated record. The transcript is spliced from 2 exons.
UGGUAGGAUGUUUAGGAAUUAUUAAAGUUAUUGUUAUUAUGAUUUCAAACAUGUUAAUUAUGUUUUGGAGUAGUUUGAAAGUAGUUAUAUUGCUGGAAAUUCAAAGUAUGAUGCUUUGAAGAGUUUUCAACGAAUUUCAAUAAUUAACAUAAUAAAUAUGAUGCUAGGAAAUCAAAUAUUCAAGUUUCGAUAUUGGGAAAUGUUCUAAUUAUGUUUAGGAAGGGUUUGAAGCUCCCUAAUGUUGCUGAAAAUUCAAUAUGAAUUGAUAUGAGUCUAUAUUGGUUGUUGUUAGGUGGAGAAUUCUCCGUAGGCGACUUUUGAAUUAUUAAAGUGGUCUUGCAGUUUGUUUACACAAGUCUCUAAGGAUCAAUAAGCGUUGCCCAUCUACAGGUUUGAAGAUGAUGCACCAUUGGGAUCGGGAUUAGAGAGCUUGUUGUUCUAUUUGUUUACUUGAGUGAUUUAAUUUGUUAACUUGGAUUUGAAAUUUGUCGUACUAUUCGUAUUUCCUUAUUUCAGUUAAUUGGUUUGGACCUAAUAUGUAAUAGAUUAUUUAUGAACCUAAAAGUUAGUUUUAUGUUUUCCGCUGCAAAAUUCUGAAUAAGCCGUUACGUUUUUACA